Molecule: long non-coding RNA, 279 nt
Organism: Gracilinanus agilis (Agile Gracile Mouse Opossum)
Lineage: Eukaryota; Metazoa; Chordata; Mammalia; Didelphimorphia; Didelphidae
Exons: 2
Source: RefSeq, a predicted model, not a curated record
GGCAAAGAGAGCCAGAACCUCUGGACUAAUGUUUGCAGCAUUAAUUACUUUGGGAAAGAGAAUCAGAAAACUCAACGAGGCCUCUGAGGGAAACAAGCAACCAAACCCCCCACCCUAACUGAUACAGAUGUCCAUGAAUGUUUGCACCUGUAUGAUGACAACCAGACAGGAAAGGAGAUGAAAGCCUACCAUUAUGGCUCCAUUCUGGCAGGACCUCCUCUCUCCAACCAGUGUAUCCAUGCUCACUCCUCUCAUAUUAAAAUCUAGAUUUUACCACAA